This 2926-nucleotide ribosomal RNA is filed under the name Escherichia coli. RNAcentral describes it as "bacterial LSU rRNA". It matches the Rfam family "Bacterial large subunit ribosomal RNA". Lineage: Bacteria; Pseudomonadati; Pseudomonadota; Gammaproteobacteria; Enterobacterales; Enterobacteriaceae. The record is from RNAcentral.
GGGUUGUGAGGUUAAGCGACUAAGCGUACACGGUGGAUGCCCUGGCAGUCAGAGGCGAUGAAGGACGUGCUAAUCUGCGAUAAGCGUCGGUAAGGUGAUAUGAACCGUUAUAACCGGCGAUUUCCGAAUGGGGAAACCCAGUGUGAUUCGUCACACUAUCAUUAACUGAAUCCAUAGGUUAAUGAGGCGAACCGGGGGAACUGAAACAUCUAAGUACCCCGAGGAAAAGAAAUCAACCGAGAUUCCCCCAGUAGCGGCGAGCGAACGGGGAGCAGCCCAGAGCCUGAAUCAGUGUGUGUGUUAGUGGAAGCGUCUGGAAAGGCGCGCGAUACAGGGUGACAGCCCCGUACACAAAAAUGCACAUGCUGUGAGCUCGAUGAGUAGGGCGGGACACGUGGUAUCCUGUCUGAAUAUGGGGGGACCAUCCUCCAAGGCUAAAUACUCCUGACUGACCGAUAGUGAACCAGUACCGUGAGGGAAAGGCGAAAAGAACCCCGGCGAGGGGAGUGAAAAAGAACCUGAAACCGUGUACGUACAAGCAGUGGGAGCCUCUUUAUGGGGUGACUGCGUACCUUUUGUAUAAUGGGUCAGCGACUUAUAUUCUGUAGCAAGGUUAACCGAAUAGGGGAGCCGAAGGGAAACCGAGUCUUAACUGGGCGUUAAGUUGCAGGGUAUAGACCCGAAACCCGGUGAUCUAGCCAUGGGCAGGUUGAAGGUUGGGUAACACUAACUGGAGGACCGAACCGACUAAUGUUGAAAAAUUAGCGGAUGACUUGUGGCUGGGGGUGAAAGGCCAAUCAAACCGGGAGAUAGCUGGUUCUCCCCGAAAGCUAUUUAGGUAGCGCCUCGUGAAUUCAUCUCCGGGGGUAGAGCACUGUUUCGGCAAGGGGGUCAUCCCGACUUACCAACCCGAUGCAAACUGCGAAUACCGGAGAAUGUUAUCACGGGAGACACACGGCGGGUGCUAACGUCCGUCGUGAAGAGGGAAACAACCCAGACCGCCAGCUAAGGUCCCAAAGUCAUGGUUAAGUGGGAAACGAUGUGGGAAGGCCCAGACAGCCAGGAUGUUGGCUUAGAAGCAGCCAUCAUUUAAAGAAAGCGUAAUAGCUCACUGGUCGAGUCGGCCUGCGCGGAAGAUGUAACGGGGCUAAACCAUGCACCGAAGCUGCGGCAGCGACACUUAUGUGUUGUUGGGUAGGGGAGCGUUCUGUAAGCCUGCGAAGGUGUACUGUGAGGUAUGCUGGAGGUAUCAGAAGUGCGAAUGCUGACAUAAGUAACGAUAAAGCGGGUGAAAAGCCCGCUCGCCGGAAGACCAAGGGUUCCUGUCCAACGUUAAUCGGGGCAGGGUGAGUCGACCCCUAAGGCGAGGCCGAAAGGCGUAGUCGAUGGGAAACAGGUUAAUAUUCCUGUACUUGGUGUUACUGCGAAGGGGGGACGGAGAAGGCUAUGUUGGCCGGGCGACGGUUGUCCCGGUUUAAGCGUGUAGGCUGGUUUUCCAGGCAAAUCCGGAAAAUCAAGGCUGAGGCGUGAUGACGAGGCACUACGGUGCUGAAGCAACAAAUGCCCUGCUUCCAGGAAAAGCCUCUAAGCAUCAGGUAACAUCAAAUCGUACCCCAAACCGACACAGGUGGUCAGGUAGAGAAUACCAAGGCGCUUGAGAGAACUCGGGUGAAGGAACUAGGCAAAAUGGUGCCGUAACUUCGGGAGAAGGCACGCUGAUAUGUAGGUGAAGUCCCUUGCGGAUGGAGCUGAAAUCAGUCGAAGAUACCAGCUGGCUGCAACUGUUUAUUAAAAACACAGCACUGUGCAAACACGAAAGUGGACGUAUACGGUGUGACGCCUGCCCGGUGCCGGAAGGUUAAUUGAUGGGGUUAGCGGUAACGCGAAGCUCUUGAUCGAAGCCCCGGUAAACGGCGGCCGUAACUAUAACGGUCCUAAGGUAGCGAAAUUCCUUGUCGGGUAAGUUCCGACCUGCACGAAUGGCGUAAUGAUGGCCAGGCUGUCUCCACCCGAGACUCAGUGAAAUUGAACUCGCUGUGAAGAUGCAGUGUACCCGCGGCAAGACGGAAAGACCCCGUGAACCUUUACUAUAGCUUGACACUGAACAUUGAGCCUUGAUGUGUAGGAUAGGUGGGAGGCUUUGAAGUGUGGACGCCAGUCUGCAUGGAGCCGACCUUGAAAUACCACCCUUUAAUGUUUGAUGUUCUAACGUUGGCCCCUAAUCGGGGUUGCGGACAGUGUCUGGUGGGUAGUUUGACUGGGGCGGUCUCCUCCUAAAGAGUAACGGAGGAGCACGAAGGUUGGCUAAUCCUGGUCGGACAUCAGGAGGUUAGUGCAAUGGCAUAAGCCAGCUUGACUGCGAGCGUGACGGCGCGAGCAGGUGCGAAAGCAGGUCAUAGUGAUCCGGUGGUUCUGAAUGGAAGGGCCAUCGCUCAACGGAUAAAAGGUACUCCGGGGAUAACAGGCUGAUACCGCCCAAGAGUUCAUAUCGACGGCGGUGUUUGGCACCUCGAUGUCGGCUCAUCACAUCCUGGGGCUGAAGUAGGUCCCAAGGGUAUGGCUGUUCGCCAUUUAAAGUGGUACGCGAGCUGGGUUUAGAACGUCGUGAGACAGUUCGGUCCCUAUCUGCCGUGGGCGCUGGAGAACUGAGGGGGGCUGCUCCUAGUACGAGAGGACCGGAGUGGACGCAUCACUGGUGUUCGGGUUGUCAUGCCAAUGGCACUGCCCGGUAGCUAAAUGCGGAAGAGAUAAGUGCUGAAAGCAUCUAAGCACGAAACUUGCCCCGAGAUGAGUUCUCCCUGACUCCCUGAGAGUCCUGAAGGAACGUUGAAGACGACGACGUUGAUAGGCCGGGUGUGUAAGCGCAGCGAUGCGUUGAGCUAACCGGUACUAAUGAACCGUGAGGCUUAACCUUACAACGCCGAAG